CUGAUCUAGCGAUGCCGCGUGUGUGACGAAGGCCUUAGGGUCGUAAAGCACUUUCGCCAGAGAUGAUAAUGACAGUAUCUGGUAAAGAAACCCCGGCUAACUCCGUGCCAGCAGCCGCGGUAAUACGGAGGGGGUUAGCGUUGUUCGGAAUUACUGGGCGUAAAGCGUACGUAGGCGGAUUAGUAAGUUAGAGGUGAAAUCCCAGGGCUCAACCCUGGAACUGCCUUUAAUACUGCUAGUCUAGAGUUCGAGAGAGGUGAGUGGAAUUCCAAGUGUAGAGGUGAAAUUCGUAGAUAUUUGGAGGAACACCAGUGGCGAAGGCGGCUCACUGGCUCGAUACUGACGCUGAGGUACGAAAGUGUGGGGAGCAAACAGGAUUAGAUACCCUGGUAGUCCACACCGUAAACGAUGAAUGCCAGUCGUCGGGUAGUAUACUAUUCGGUGACACACCUAACGGAGUAAGCAUUCCGCCUGGGGAGUACGGUCGCAAGAUUAAAACUCA
RNAcentral lists this ribosomal RNA (502 nucleotides) under uncultured marine bacterium. Its description in RNAcentral is "bacterial SSU rRNA". It matches the Rfam family "Bacterial small subunit ribosomal RNA", at positions 383 to 903 of the family's 1533-position model. The record is from RNAcentral.